GACGAACGCUGGCGGCGUGCUUAACACAUGCAAGUCGAACGGAAAGGCCCUGCUUUUGUGGGGUGCUCGAGUGGCGAACGGGUGAGUAACACGUGAGUAACCUGCCCUUGACUUUGGGAUAACUUCAGGAAACUGGGGCUAAUACCGGAUAGGAGCUCCUGCUGCAUGGUGGGGGUUGGAAAGUUUCGGCGGUUGGGGAUGGACUCGCGGCUUAUCAGCUUGUUGGUGGGGUAGUGGCUUACCAAGGCUUUGACGGGUAGCCGGCCUGAGAGGGUGACCGGCCACAUUGGGACUGAGAUACGGCCCAGACUCCUACGGGAGGCAGCAGUGGGGAAUAUUGCACAAUGGGCGGAAGCCUGAUGCAGCAACGCCGCGUGCGGGAUGACGGCCUUCGGGUUGUAAACCGCUUUCGCCUGUGACGAAGCGUGAGUGACGGUAAGGGGUAAAGAAGCACCGGCUAACUAC
RNAcentral lists this ribosomal RNA (465 nucleotides) under uncultured bacterium. RNAcentral's name for it is "partial 16S ribosomal RNA". It matches the Rfam family "Bacterial small subunit ribosomal RNA", at positions 28 to 504 of the family's 1533-position model. The record is from RNAcentral.